Molecule: ribosomal RNA, 253 nt
Filed under: uncultured bacterium
Lineage: Bacteria
Description: partial 16S ribosomal RNA
Rfam family: Bacterial small subunit ribosomal RNA
Source: RNAcentral
GACAGUGGGUGCAAACGUUGUUCGGAAUUACUGGGCGUAAAGCGAGUGUAGGCGGUUCGAUAAGUCGGAUGUGAAAGCCCCGGGCUCAACCCGGGAAGUGCACUCGAUACUGUCGAGCUAGAGUAUCGGAGAGGUUGGUGGAAUUCUCGGUGUAGAGGUGAAAUUCGUAGAUAUCGAGAGGAACACCGGUGGCGAAGGCGGCCAACUGGACGAAUACUGACGCUGAGACUCGAAAGCGUGGGGAGCAAACAGG